Molecule: ribosomal RNA, 252 nt
Filed under: uncultured bacterium
Lineage: Bacteria
Description: partial 16S ribosomal RNA
Rfam family: Bacterial small subunit ribosomal RNA
Source: RNAcentral
UACAGAGGGUGCGAGCGUUGUCCGGAAUCACUGGGCGUAAAGGGCGCGUAGGUGGCGAUCCAAGUCCAUGGUGAAAGCUCGAUGCUCAACAUCGAGUCGGCCACGGAUACUGGGUUGCUUGAGCACUGUAGGGGCAGAUGGAAUCCGGGUGUAGCGGUGGAAUGCGUAGAGAUGUGGAGGAACACCAGUGGCGAAGGCGACUCUUUGGCCUAUAACUGACGCUGAGGCGCGAGAGCGUGGGGAGCAAACAGG